Molecule: ribosomal RNA, 497 nt
Filed under: uncultured bacterium
Lineage: Bacteria
Description: partial 16S ribosomal RNA
Rfam family: Bacterial small subunit ribosomal RNA
Source: RNAcentral
GACGAACGCUGGCGGCGUGCCUAAUACAUGCAAGUCGAGCGGACGGAUGGGAGCUUGCUCCCAGACCGUCAGCGGCGGACGGGUGAGUAACACGUGGGCAACCUGCCUGUAAGACUGGGAUAACUCCGGGAAACCGGGGCUAAUACCGGAUAACUCUUUCCCUCACAUGAGGGAAAGCUGAAAGAUGGCAUCUCGCUAUCACUUACAGAUGGGCCCGCGGCGCAUUAGCUAGUUGGUGAGGUAACGGCUCACCAAGGCGACGAUGCGUAGCCGACCUGAGAGGGUGAUCGGCCACACUGGGACUGAGACACGGCCCAGACUCCUACGGGAGGCAGCAGUAGGGAAUCUGCCGCAAUGGACGAAAGUCUGACGGAGCAACGCCGCGUGAGUGAUGAAGGUUUUCGGAUCGUAAAACUCUGUUGUCAGGGAAGAACAAGUACCGGAGUAACUGCCGGUACCUUGACGGUACCUGACCAGAAAGCCACGGCUAACUACGU